RNAcentral lists this ribosomal RNA (487 nucleotides) under uncultured bacterium. Its description in RNAcentral is "partial 16S ribosomal RNA". It matches the Rfam family "Bacterial small subunit ribosomal RNA", at positions 28 to 507 of the family's 1533-position model. The record is from RNAcentral.
GACGAACGCUGGCGGCGUGCUUAACACAUGCAAGUCGAACGGAAAGGCCCAGAUCUUGUUGUGUGUUCUCGAGUGGCGGACGGGUGAGUAACAAGUGCGUGAUCAGCCUUCUACUUCGAGAUAAGCUAGCGAACGUGGGUAAAACAACUAAUACGAGCCUGGUUUAGGGUGUAUUGUUGGAAAGUUUAUUGUUUUGGUGUAGUAUGAGCUCGUGGCCUAUCAGCUUGUUGGUGGGGUAUUGCCCUACAACGGCGUGGACGGGUAGGCGGCGUGUGAGAGUGGACGGCAGAAUUGGGCCUGAGAUACGGCCCAGACGCUAACGGGAGGCAGCAGAGGGGAAUAAUGCACAAGGGGCGGAAGACUGAUGCAGCGAGGCGGGGUGGGGGAUGACGGCCUUCGGGUUGUAAACUGCUUUUGUUAGGGACGAAGCCACGCUUUUUGGGUGUGGUGGCAGGAACUUUGUGAAGAAGCACCGGCUAACUACGUG